This 678-nucleotide ribosomal RNA is filed under the name uncultured Methanobacteriaceae archaeon. RNAcentral describes it as "bacterial SSU rRNA". It matches the Rfam family "Archaeal small subunit ribosomal RNA", at positions 321 to 999 of the family's 1478-position model. The record is from RNAcentral. Lineage: Archaea; Methanobacteriati; Methanobacteriota; Methanobacteria; Methanobacteriales; Methanobacteriaceae.
CCGUAUGGGGUGCAGCAGUCGCGACACCUCCGCAAUGCAUGCAAGUGCGACGCGUCGACCUCAAGUGCCACUCUUAACGGGGUGGCUUGUCAGGAGUGUAAAAAGCUCCUGGAAUAAGGGCUGGGCAAGACCGGUGCCAGCCGCCGCGGUAACACCGGCAGCUCGAGUGGUAGCCGCGUUUAUUGGUCGUAAAGCGUCCGUAGCCGGUCCGAUAAGUCUCUGGUGAAAGCCCACAGCUCAACUGUGGGAAUCGCUGGAGAUACUAUCGGACUUGAGGCCGGGAGAGGCUGGAGGUACUCCCAGGGUAGGGGUGAAAUCCUAUAAUCCUGGGAGGACCACCUGUGGCGAAGGCGUCCAGCUGGAACGGACCUGACGGUGAGGGACGAAAGCCAGGGGCGCGAACCGGAUUAGAUACCCGGGUAGUCCUGGCUGUAAACGAUGCGCACUUGGUGUUGGGAUGGCUUUGAGCUGUCCCAGUGCCGAAGGGAAGCUGUCAAGUCCGCCGCCUGGGAAGUACGGCCGCAAGGCUGAAACUUAAAGGAAUUGCCGGGGGAGCACCACAACGCGUGGAGCCUGCGGUUCAAUUGGAUUCAACGCCGGUCAUCUCACCAGGGGCGACAGCAGGAUGAUGGCCAGGUUGACGACCUUGCGGGACAAGCUGAGAGGAAGUGCAUGGCC